This 497-nucleotide ribosomal RNA is filed under the name uncultured bacterium. Its description in RNAcentral is "partial 16S ribosomal RNA". It matches the Rfam family "Bacterial small subunit ribosomal RNA", at positions 28 to 507 of the family's 1533-position model. The record is from RNAcentral.
GAUGAACGCUGGCGGCGUGCCUAAUACAUGCAAGUCGAGCGAAGAGACGAGGAGCUUGCCCGUUGGACGUUAGGGGCGGGCGGGUGAGUAACACGUGGAUAACCUACCUAUAAGACUGGGAUAACUUCGGGAAAGCGGAGCUAAUACGGGAUAAGAUAUUGAACCGCAUGGUUCAAUAGUGAAAGACGGCUUUGAUGUCACUUAUAGAGGGAUCCCCGCCGCAUUGGCUGGUUGGUAAGGUAACGGGCUACCAAGGGAACGAUGCGUAGCCGAACUGACCGGUUGAUCGGCCACCCUGGAGCUUGGCCGCGCUCCCUGCGCCUACGGGAGGCACCAGACGGGAAUCUUCCGCAAUGGUCGGAAGCUUUGCGCAGCAACGCCGCGCGAGUGAUGACGGUCUUCGGUUCGUAAAGCUCUCUUAUUAGUGAAGAACAACUUUGUAAGUAACUAUGCCCGUCUUGACGGUACCUGCACAGAAAGCCACGGCUAACUACGUG